Molecule: ribosomal RNA, 468 nt
Filed under: uncultured bacterium
Lineage: Bacteria
Description: partial 16S ribosomal RNA
Rfam family: Bacterial small subunit ribosomal RNA
Source: RNAcentral
GACGAACGCUGGCGGCGUGCUUAACACAUGCAAGUCGAACGGAAAGGCCCUGCUUUUGUGGGGUGCUCGAGUGGCGAACGGGUGAGUAACACGUGAGUAACCUGCCCUUGACUUUGGGAUAACUUCAGGAAACUGGGGCUAAUACCGGAUAGGAGCUCCUGCUGCAUGGUGGGGGUUGGAAAGUUUCGGCGGUUGGGGAUGGACUCGCGGCUUAUCAGCUUGUUGGUGGGGUAGUGGCUUACCAAGGCUUUGACGGGUAGCCGGCCUGAGAGGGUGACCGGCCACAUUGGGACUGAGAUACGGCCCAGACUCCUACGGGGGGCAGCAGUGGGGAAUAUUGCACAAUGGGCGGAAGCCUGAUGCAGCAACGCCGCGUGCGGGAUGACGGCCUUCGGGUUGUAAGCCGCUUUCGCCUGUGACGAAGCGUGAGUGACGGUAAUGGGUAAAGAAGCACCGGCUAACUACGUG